RNAcentral lists this ribosomal RNA (704 nucleotides) under uncultured Candidatus Pelagibacter sp. Its description in RNAcentral is "bacterial SSU rRNA". It matches the Rfam family "Bacterial small subunit ribosomal RNA", at positions 12 to 763 of the family's 1533-position model. The record is from RNAcentral. Lineage: Bacteria; Pseudomonadati; Pseudomonadota; Alphaproteobacteria; Candidatus Pelagibacterales; Candidatus Pelagibacteraceae.
UUUGAUCCUGGCUCAGAAGACGCUGGCGGCACGCCUAAUACAUGCAAGUCGAACGAAGUAGCAAUACUUAGUGGCAGACGGGUGAGUAACAUGUAGGUAUCUUCCCUAUGGUGAGGAAUAACACGAGGAAACUUGUGCUAAUACCUCAUAAGUCUUUACAGAGAAAGCUUUAUGCGCCAUUGGAUGAGCCUGCACUUGAUUAGUUUGUUGGUGGGGUAAUGGCCUGCCAAGACUUUGAUCAAUAGCUGAUUUGAGAGGAUGAUCAGCCACAUUGGGACUGAGACACGGCCCAAACUCCUACGGGAGGCAGCAGUAGGGAAUAUUGCGCAAUGGGGGAAACCCUGACGCAGCGAUGCCGCGUGAGUGAAGAAGGCCUUAGGGUUGUAAAACUCUUUCACCGGUGAAGAUAAUGACGGUAACCGGAGAAGAAGCUCCGGCUAACUCCGUGCCAGCAGCCGCGGUAAUACGGAGGGGGCUAACGUUGUUCGGAAUUACUGGGCGUAAAGCGCGCGUAGGCGGAUUAGACAGUUGAGGGUGAAAUCCCGGAGCUUAACUUCGGAACUGCCUUCAAUACUACUAAUCUAGAGUUCGGAAGAGGUGAGUGGAAUUCCUAGUGUAGAGGUGAAAUUCGUAGAUAUUAGGAAGAACAUCAGAGGCGAAGGCGGCUCACUGGUCCGAUACUGACGCUGAGGUGCGAAAGCGUG